AAGUCGUAACAAGGUUUCCGUAGGUGAACCUGCGGAAGGAUCAUUAACUAUUUGUGGGAGAAAGGCGUCAAAAACCUUUUUUUCCAUUAAUUCAUCCAUAAUGUGGGUCAAACCACAUGCGCAAUGUUUUUUAAGGGUAUUCUUUUGGGGGUACUCUUUUUAUUUAUGAUAUGGCCUAAAAAACCAUAUUAUUAAUUUUUUUAUACUAAAUUUACUGAAUUAACGAUUGACCAUAAUUUAUGGUUGUUAAAAAAUAUAUUAAUUUAUAUAAAAACAACUUUCAGCAAUGGAUCUCUCGGCUUUC
Molecule: unclassified non-coding RNA, 304 nt
Filed under: Cunninghamella echinulata
Lineage: Eukaryota; Fungi; Mucoromycota; Mucoromycetes; Mucorales; Cunninghamellaceae
Description: partial internal transcribed spacer region
Rfam family: Eukaryotic small subunit ribosomal RNA (bases 1-46)
Source: RNAcentral